RNAcentral lists this ribosomal RNA (678 nucleotides) under bacterium enrichment culture. Its description in RNAcentral is "bacterial SSU rRNA". It matches the Rfam family "Bacterial small subunit ribosomal RNA", at positions 72 to 763 of the family's 1533-position model. The record is from RNAcentral.
AUUGAAGCUUGCUUUGAACUGUUUUAGUGGCGGACGGGUGAGUAACGCGUGAGGAACCUGCCUUUCAGAGGGGGAUAACGUCUGGAAACGGACGCUAAUACCGCAUGACAUUUUGUUGCCGCAUGGUGAUAAAAUCAAAGGAGCAAUCCGCUGAGAGAUGGACUCGCGUCCGAUUAGCCGGUUGGCGGGGUAACGGCCCACCAAAGCAACGAUCGGUAGCCGGGCUGAGAGGCUGAACGGCCACAUUGGGACUGAGACACGGCCCAGACUCCUACGGGAGGCAGCAGUGGGGGAUAUUGCACAAUGGAGGAAACUCUGAUGCAGCAACGCCGCGUGAGGGAAGAAGGUUUUCGGAUUGUAAACCUCUGUCCUCAGGGACGAUAAUGACGGUACCUGAGGAGGAAGCUCCGGCUAACUACGUGCCAGCAGCCGCGGUAAUACGUAGGGAGCAAGCGUUGUCCGGAUUUACUGGGUGUAAAGGGUGCGUAGGCGGCACUGCAAGUCAGGUGUGAAAACCAUGGGCUUAACUUAUGGAUUGCACUUGAAACUGUGGUGCUUGAGUGAAGUAGAGGCAGGCGGAAUUCCCGGUGUAGCGGUGAAAUGCGUAGAGAUCGGGAGGAACACCAGUGGCGAAGGCGGCCUGCUGGGCUUUAACUGACGCUGAGGCACGAAAGCAUG